AAGCAAGAACCAGAGGCCUCUCCUUCAGUUCUUCAACCUUCCAUUCAGUACUGGAGGAGAAUAGAGGCUGCUAUCUGACAUGCUUCUUAAUUUACCAUUUGGUUAUUGUCUCUGAUGCACCCACCGUCCAAGCUUUUAUACUAAUCAAUUCCCAGCACUUAGUUUGUAUAUCCGAAGAAAAUUUAAUUCUGCCUAUUUUUGAUCUUAACAUAAAGAGAUAAAAUGGUAUGUACUCUUUCUUUUAUGUCUGGCUUCUAUUUCUCGAAAUUGUUUUUAAGAUUCAUCC
RNAcentral lists this long non-coding RNA (286 nucleotides) under Felis catus (domestic cat). RNAcentral describes it as "lncRNA (ENSFCAG00000040341.2)". The record is from RNAcentral. Lineage: Eukaryota; Metazoa; Chordata; Mammalia; Carnivora; Felidae.